This 433-nucleotide ribosomal RNA is filed under the name uncultured bacterium. RNAcentral describes it as "partial 16S ribosomal RNA". It matches the Rfam family "Bacterial small subunit ribosomal RNA", at positions 29 to 507 of the family's 1533-position model. The record is from RNAcentral.
AACGAACGCUGGCGGCAUGCCUAACACAUGCAAGUCGAACGAGACCUUCGGGUCUAGUGGCGCACGGGUGCGUAACGCGUGGGAACCUGCCCUUAGGUUCGGAAUAACUCCCCGAAAGGGGUGCUAAUACCGGAUAAUGUCUUCGGACCAAAGAUUUAUCGCCUUUGGAUGGGCCCGCGUUGGAUUAGCUAGUUGGUAGGGUAAAAGCCUACCAAGGCGACGAUCCAUAGCUGGUCUGAGAGGAUGAUCAGCCACACUGGGACUGAGAUACGGCCCAGACUCCUACGGGAGGCAGCAGUGGGGAAUAUUGGACAAUGGGCGAAAGCCUGAUCCAGCAAUGCCGCGUGAGUGAUGAAGGCCUUAGGGUUGUAAAGCUCUUUUACCCGGGAUGAUAAUGACAGUACCGGGAGAAUAAGCGCCGGCUAACUCCGUG